UAACAGAAGUCCUGUGAGGCCUGCCUUGA
This 29-nucleotide non-coding RNA is filed under the name Homo sapiens (human). Lineage: Eukaryota; Metazoa; Chordata; Mammalia; Primates; Hominidae. The record is from RNAcentral.